This 342-nucleotide unclassified non-coding RNA is filed under the name soil metagenome. RNAcentral describes it as "partial contains 5.8S ribosomal RNA, internal transcribed spacer 2, and large subunit ribosomal RNA". The stretch from base 1 to 120 matches the Rfam family "5.8S ribosomal RNA", at positions 35 to 154 of the family's 154-position model. The record is from RNAcentral.
GAUGAAGAACGUAGCGAAAUGCGAUAAGUAAUGUGAAUUGCAGAAUUCAGUGAAUCAUCGAAUCUUUGAACGCACAUUGCGCCCGCCAGCAUUCUGGCGGGCAUGCCUGUUCGAGCGUCAUUUCAACCCUCGAGCCCCCCCGGGGGCCUCGGUGUUGGGGGACGGCACACCAGCCGCCCCCGAAAUGCAGUGGCGACCUCGCCGCAGCCUCCCCUGCGUAGUAGCACACACCUCGCACCGGAGCGCGGAGACGGUCACGCCGUGAAACGCCCAACUUCUUAGAGUUGACCUCGGAUCAGGUAGGAAUACCCGCUGAACUUAAGCAUAUCAAUAAGCGGAGGA